This 206-nucleotide long non-coding RNA is filed under the name Capsicum annuum. RNAcentral's name for it is "long non-coding RNA (CANN_LNC010003)". The record is from RNAcentral. Lineage: Eukaryota; Viridiplantae; Streptophyta; Magnoliopsida; Solanales; Solanaceae.
UAUACUGCAGCCCUUUACCCUUGCAUUUUUCUAUAUACCGCUGCAUAUCUUGUAUAUAUCAGUCACUUUUAUUCUUGGGCAUCUUCUGUUUUUGACUUGCUUUCUUCUUUUGUAACAGGUAUAUUAGUUCCCUUGUUGUAUACCAACUGUAUACCACUACAAAUCAGUCCCUCGAAUGUGUAUCUCAAUCCGCUUGAAAACUUGGC